GGGUUGUGAGGUUAAGCGACUAAGCGUACACGGUGGAUGCCCUGGCAGUCAGAGGCGAUGAAGGACGUGCUAAUCUGCGAUAAGCGUCGGUAAGGUGAUAUGAACCGUUAUAACCGGCGAUUUCCGAAUGGGGAAACCCAGUGUGUUUCGACACACUAUCAUUAACUGAAUCCAUAGGUUAAUGAGGCGAACCGGGGGAACUGAAACAUCUAAGUACCCCGAGGAAAAGAAAUCAACCGAGAUUCCCCCAGUAGCGGCGAGCGAACGGGGAGCAGCCCAGAGCCUGAAUCAGUGUGUGUGUUAGUGGAAGCGUCUGGAAAGGCGCGCGAUACAGGGUGACAGCCCCGUACACAAAAAUGCACAUACUGUGAGCUCGAUGAGUAGGGCGGGACACGUGGUAUCCUGUCUGAAUAUGGGGGGACCAUCCUCCAAGGCUAAAUACUCCUGACUGACCGAUAGUGAACCAGUACCGUGAGGGAAAGGCGAAAAGAACCCCGGCGAGGGGAGUGAAAAAGAACCUGAAACCGUGUACGUACAAGCAGUGGGAGCCUCUUUUAUGGGGUGACUGCGUACCUUUUGUAUAAUGGGUCAGCGACUUAUAUUCUGUAGCAAGGUUAACCGAAUAGGGGAGCCGAAGGGAAACCGAGUCUUAACUGGGCGUUAAGUUGCAGGGUAUAGACCCGAAACCCGGUGAUCUAGCCAUGGGCAGGUUGAAGGUUGGGUAACACUAACUGGAGGACCGAACCGACUAAUGUUGAAAAAUUAGCGGAUGACUUGUGGCUGGGGGUGAAAGGCCAAUCAAACCGGGAGAUAGCUGGUUCUCCCCGAAAGCUAUUUAGGUAGCGCCUCGUGAAUUCAUCUCCGGGGGUAGAGCACUGUUUCGGCAAGGGGGUCAUCCCGACUUACCAACCCGAUGCAAACUGCGAAUACCGGAGAAUGUUAUCACGGGAGACACACGGCGGGUGCUAACGUCCGUCGUGAAGAGGGAAACAACCCAGACCGCCAGCUAAGGUCCCAAAGUCAUGGUUAAGUGGGAAACGAUGUGGGAAGGCCCAGACAGCCAGGAUGUUGGCUUAGAAGCAGCCAUCAUUUAAAGAAAGCGUAAUAGCUCACUGGUCGAGUCGGCCUGCGCGGAAGAUGUAACGGGGCUAAACCAUGCACCGAAGCUGCGGCAGCGACACUGUGUGUUGUUGGGUAGGGGAGCGUUCUGUAAGCCUGUGAAGGUGUACUGUGAGGUAUGCUGGAGGUAUCAGAAGUGCGAAUGCUGACAUAAGUAACGAUAAAGCGGGUGAAAAGCCCGCUCGCCGGAAGACCAAGGGUUCCUGUCCAACGUUAAUCGGGGCAGGGUGAGUCGACCCCUAAGGCGAGGCCGAAAGGCGUAGUCGAUGGGAAACAGGUUAAUAUUCCUGUACUUGGUGUUACUGCGAAGGGGGGACGGAGAAGGCUAUGUUGGCCGGGCGACGGUUGUCCCGGUUUAAGCGUGUAGGCUGGUUUUCCAGGCAAAUCCGGAAAAUCAAGGCUGAGGCGUGAUGACGAGGCACUACGGUGCUGAAGCAACAAAUGCCCUGCUUCCAGGAAAAGCCUCUAAGCAUCAGGUAACAUCAAAUCGUACCCCAAACCGACACAGGUGGUCAGGUAGAGAAUACCAAGGCGCUUGAGAGAACUCGGGUGAAGGAACUAGGCAAAAUGGUGCCGUAACUUCGGGAGAAGGCACGCUGAUAUGUAGGUGAAGCGACUUGCUCGUGGAGCUGAAAUCAGUCGAAGAUACCAGCUGGCUGCAACUGUUUAUUAAAAACACAGCACUGUGCAAACACGAAAGUGGACGUAUACGGUGUGACGCCUGCCCGGUGCCGGAAGGUUAAUUGAUGGGGUUAGCGCAAGCGAAGCUCUUGAUCGAAGCCCCGGUAAACGGCGGCCGUAACUAUAACGGUCCUAAGGUAGCGAAAUUCCUUGUCGGGUAAGUUCCGACCUGCACGAAUGGCGUAAUGAUGGCCAGGCUGUCUCCACCCGAGACUCAGUGAAAUUGAACUCGCUGUGAAGAUGCAGUGUACCCGCGGCAAGACGGAAAGACCCCGUGAACCUUUACUAUAGCUUGACACUGAACAUUGAGCCUUGAUGUGUAGGAUAGGUGGGAGGCUUUGAAGUGUGGACGCCAGUCUGCAUGGAGCCGACCUUGAAAUACCACCCUUUAAUGUUUGAUGUUCUAACGUUGACCCGUGAUCCGGGUUGCGGACAGUGUCUGGUGGGUAGUUUGACUGGGGCGGUCUCCUCCUAAAGAGUAACGGAGGAGCACGAAGGUUGGCUAAUCCUGGUCGGACAUCAGGAGGUUAGUGCAAUGGCAUAAGCCAGCUUGACUGCGAGCGUGACGGCGCGAGCAGGUGCGAAAGCAGGUCAUAGUGAUCCGGUGGUUCUGAAUGGAAGGGCCAUCGCUCAACGGAUAAAAGGUACUCCGGGGAUAACAGGCUGAUACCGCCCAAGAGUUCAUAUCGACGGCGGUGUUUGGCACCUCGAUGUCGGCUCAUCACAUCCUGGGGCUGAAGUAGGUCCCAAGGGUAUGGCUGUUCGCCAUUUAAAGUGGUACGCGAGCUGGGUUUAGAACGUCGUGAGACAGUUCGGUCCCUAUCUGCCGUGGGCGCUGGAGAAUUGAGGGGGGCUGCUCCUAGUACGAGAGGACCGGAGUGGACGCAUCACUGGUGUUCGGGUUGUCAUGCCAAUGGCAGUGCCCGGUAGCUAAAUGCGGAAGAGAUAAGUGCUGAAAGCAUCUAAGCACGAAACUUGCCCCGAGAUGAGUUCUCCCUGACUCCUUGAGAGUCCUGAAGGAACGUUGAAGACGACGACGUUGAUAGGCCGGGUGUGUAAGCGCAGCGAUGCGUUGAGCUAACUGGUACUAAUGAACCGUGAGGCUUAACCUUACAACGCCGAAGCUGUU
RNAcentral lists this ribosomal RNA (2929 nucleotides) under Escherichia coli. Its description in RNAcentral is "23S ribosomal RNA". It matches the Rfam family "Bacterial large subunit ribosomal RNA". Lineage: Bacteria; Pseudomonadati; Pseudomonadota; Gammaproteobacteria; Enterobacterales; Enterobacteriaceae. The record is from RNAcentral.